UGACACAUUCCUAAUCGAUCAAUGAGCAGAUUCUGCUCUCCUGUUUGCAGGAAUGACCAGUGCAGCUCUGGAGACAUCAGAAGAGAAAAAUCUCAUGAGUUACACUGGAAAUAGUGGGAUCAUACUCAGGCUUGUGACAUCCUGACUCACUGGACUUGUAAUCUGAUUAUACGGGUGUUUUUGGAAGCCCUGUGUAGUAUGUCCUGCCCUGCUCCAGCAUUUUGUCUCUGGGGAUCACCCAGUUUGUUGCUUCACAGACACCCUUGGGGUUUGGAAACUGCCCACUUGUGACGGAUGGAAACAGUGAGGCGUCUUCCAAAACUUUCCAUCGAUUUUGAGCAUUUGAGUCCAAAAAAUGGAGAUGCAGUAAACGUUCCUCUUUCCAAAUAAAGCCUGGGGAAGCUCUGGGCCCAAAGCAUUUUCUGCAAAACAAGCACGUGGUGUCUUAAGGUGCACAUCCAAGAUCUGUGUUUCUUUAUACGUAGUGGCAUAGGUGACUAGGUCGAAAGCGUAACACUCAGAUAAUCUAUACCUUCUCUAUGUUUUUAGCCACAAUAGCACCCUGUCCUCUGUUUACUGGCACUCUGCUAGACACCAAGAAAGCUAGUACAAGUGUUUCCCUAUCUCAAAAGUUAUCACGUUCCUGUGUAAAAGGUAUCUUUUUAAAGUGUAUCUAAAAGAAAUCGCAUUUUGGAGGGUGAAUCUAGAAGAGCCUCUCUGGUGUUUGAAGAAAGCUGGGGAUAGAAGAGACAUUUGCUGGGAGAGCAGCUCUGGAGCUAAACAAGUUUUUGAACUAGGAAAGCUCCUCUUACACACUCCUGCUAGUCAGACAGAAUGUGCUCAUGUUCGUUGGUCAUUCUGGAGCCUUGAAAGCAAGGCAGCGUCUGGUAAAUUCAUUCCCAGAUGCUGGGGGAACAAGGGAUUGUGGGAGACAGUGUAAGAUGGGGAGGGAUUUACUGCAGAACAGAGAAAAAGCAAAUCAAUGAAAGUUUGUUCAGCCUUACUUCCCUUUUGGUUUUUUGUUGUUUUAUUUUUAAGUGAAGCUGCAGUAGGAGAAAUUUUGGGAUUUUAUGCUUGUGUUGCUUUAAGGACAGGAAUGCUGGAAACAGAGGUAUUUGAUACCUUUGCUGCUAAUUACAGUGCAAGCUCCCAGUGUCCUGACAAUGCCCUUGUCCCUGACCUGGAGGGGCCUCACUAUCUCAGGGUCAGCUGUAAUUUAGUUUUAGGUCAGAGCUGGGACUCUCCUGCCAAACUAACUGCACUUUGUUUUGAAGUAGAAACCAUUUACUAGCAAGUCUGAGACCAUCAAACUCAUUUCACUAACGAGAAACAGGAAUGAACUGCAGAGCCCCAGAGACGAAGGUCAGUGUUCAACACAAGGAGAGCUCAGCUGCCUCACGAAGGAAGGGGCUGUUUCGCCCACCGAGCCACACAACCGCGUGAGCUCAGAUCUUCUGCUCCCUUCAAUUAAGCACGUUUAUUACAAAAAAAACUUAGGGACCAACUAAGCCCUGCCAGUCCCCGAGCAGGCACAACGGUGCAGUCAGCCCCCCACCUUACAGAGUUUACAACACAGUUGCUGCAUUUCACAGCAGGCUCAAGAAAAAGGACCGAGCUCCUCAGUAAAGCUCAUGAGUUGUUGGUGCUGCUCCUACCUCUUCUCACAGAUUGGCCGGGUGAUUUGGGCCAAGAAAACUCUGGUUUUCUACUUGAAAACUGAGGUGUUUCUUCCCUAUCUGAAGAAAAAAAUGCUUUGAGGUCUUCAGAGAGAACAUGCUGCAGAAAAUAACCCAAAAGCUGUAAAGGGAAAUACUUUUUAACUUCCUCCGAAUAAUCAGCACUCUCUAACUCACAGGGAAUGAAGUAUUUUUUUCAAACCAACAGAUUUUUAUCCGAUCUUCUUCCCCCUCACCAUAUUCAUGGACAGAGAUUAUACUGUCAUGAUACCGCAUAGCAUUACCUGAAAUUAACUUGUCACUUAAAGAACCGUUCUCUACAAUUUGUGGGGUAGUCUGAGAGCCCAGUACAUUUUGCCUAUUUUCAGAGUCCCUGCUCUUUUGCAUUUAUGUAGACCUAGGACUGGGUUUGCUAAGGAAAAACCUAUCCAGAGCACAAAUUUUUUUCAAUUCUGCACAUCACUGCAACAAGAGGCCAACUUGCACUUACAGGAAAAAAGCUGGAUGAAAAAUUUGUGCCAGUUUACUAAACAGUAAAAGUCUUUUGACAGCAAAGGAGGGUUCGGUGUCCAAAUCUAUGAGCACACGGAUGAGACAGACAAGUAGAGACCCAAACAUGCUCUUUGGGAACAGUAAAACAUAUUUAGCUCUAGAUGCUGGCCACAGUUAAGGUUAGCGAUCAGAUGCGAGAGAGCACAGCUAUAGCAAGAAAACAGGACCACUAAGGGAUGUUCAAAUCUUUCUUUCAUAAAAGUUGACUAGAAGACUGCAACACACCCUGAUGUGCGCUAAUGCUUGCUGCCAUGCUUGACAGCUGCAAGGCAGUGUGGUGGAAAGAAUUACCAGCCCUACAGACUUUCAGAUGAGUUCAAAAUGUAAUACCCCCGUUGUCAGACACCACAGGUUCCUAACUACAUGUAAACCCAAAUCGCUUCUCUCACCAUUGGUGCCUCUGCAAAUAGCAAAUCAGCUUCCAAGAGCUCAUCUUAAUUGCCAGAGCUCUUUGUGGGAAAGGUCCCAGCUACCCAAGAGCUGGGUACCUCCUUCAUGACUCCCUGAGAAAGCCACGUGUUUCAGGAGUGAUGCAACUGCCGUGUACCAGAACAAGGCUCCGGAGCAGAGCAGAUAGCUUCCUUGGCAGCUGGCCUGCAGUGCUGGAGCUUGCUCCCAGGAGAGAUUAGAGGGAGUAAAAACCUCACUGCCAUCAGAGCAGAGCACUCAACCUGCUUCUACCAGAGAUUUCUCACAAGAGCAAAAAAAUCCAAAAGUGUCACCACAAAUAGGAGGCUGCGGGAACAGGGAAAAGAUAACCCAGUUAAUGUCAUGCAUACAGCUUUGCUAACAGCUCAGGUAACACUGAUCGGUAAAGGACAGGCAAAAGCUCUGAGCAGAGCCUGUUUUACACUGGGAAGAUUACCUGACUAACAUCUCGACAGAGAAUUGCCUCCCUACAUAAAGCCCCCCAAAACCCCGACCUGCAGCUACAAACCUUUCAGGGCACGGUAGAGGACAGCUACCCUCAGGUUCCCAGGUAGCACAAUUUAUACCCCGAGGCAAAUGCAAGUACAAACUACUUGCACUCACUUAGACUUUGUGUGCUUUUGGACUCCCCUGCUACUUCAGGUGUCACCACAUCCGCGUAACCCCAACAGCAAAGAGGAAAGGAGAGGGUUUUCACUGGUUUCAAGGAAGGCUGAGCUCUACCCAUAGACAAGGUAAUUUUCUGUCUGCGCACAGAGGACUCUGCACAGAUGAGCGAGCUGUUUCCCAAGGGCACAGCAGAGCCCCUUCGGAGACAGCUCCCAAGGCUGGAGCUCCUGUGCUGCAGAGAACGCUGUGGGCUCACCCCCCAGCCCAGCAGACUCCUGGGGAGAGGGCCAUAAUGACCAUGGACUGCCCAGUUGACCAUAGGGAGGUCAUCUCCAGUCCUCUGCUCCCCCGCCACCGAGGUAGGGCUCUGCAAGGUGGAGCACGGAGCUCUGGGCAGGGCUGCGUGGGCGGCAGCCCAGCCUGGGAACUCAGGAGCAGCAAGGAAGGAGAGGAUGCUGGAGUGGAAGUGAUUUGAAUUAGAACAAACUGGCUGCUGAAUAGAAGCUUUUAUUCCAGCAUGGAGAAGGCUUUGUUAGUCAAGCACAUGUGAUGCACAAAAGCCUCCACUUGAAUUCAUUGAGUUUUAAUUGGUUCUCAGGUGGGGGAGGAGAUGGGUGUUAGGAAUUAGGGAUUCCUUAAAGAGGCAAUAUCAUUAAAUCUUAACGCCUCUUCCCUCUCACCCCCAGUUUCGGCUUAGGAGUCUGGCCUCAUUCAAUUGUCCUAUGUUAGAGAAUCAGAAAAACUGAGGGAGAGAAAGGGUGGGAGGGGGAGUCACUAAUAAAGCCUAAAGGGAGAUCAAUGAACGAGGAGGGUGAGGGGCAGGAGGAAGACUGAAAAAAGAAAGCGGCUGGUUGGAAGAGAGAGGAGGGAGGUCACACACAGGCAGGGAAGGCAAGAGAACCUCAAAGGGAUGAGGGAAAGAGAAUGAUGCCAUUUGAGUUGGGGCUUUCUUUUCUCCCUGCAUUCCUUCUUUUAUUGAACACUUAAAACUUCCCUUGGAGAUCCUCUAGCUUGGCUCUGUGAGCCUGUGCUCCAAAAUAACAGAGUUGAUCCAUCACAAGAAAAGAAGCAAAUUCUGGGAUGGGUAUGCGGUGCUUGCGCAUGGGGAAUGACAGCAGUAAGAGAAACCUGCUUGGGAGGACCUCGCAAGAGCUGCUGCUUGUUUUGCCAGACACAGCACGUUUCAGACAGAAGUUUUGUUACUAAGAGCCUGACGCAGACGUAGCUGAAAUCAAGGUCCUUGUGAGUCAAAGAGAAAGGGAGCAAUCGGGAGCUAAGGAGAUUUCACAGUCGGCAUUGUAGGAGGUACAGCACGCUGCCCAGCUUACGAAAGGGACCCUGGGUACCUGCAAGCCAGACCCUGACAGACAACUGCUACGCUGCAAUGGGGGACACACAUCUCACAAAUGUAUAAUGAUUUCCAUCAGUCCAGUACAUCAUCGGAGAAUGAAUUAAUGUUGGUUUACCUAUUACAUUUGGAAUUUAGAUAGGUAAGUGAAUGAUGUACCAAACGCACUGCCAGCAAACACCAACUGGAACGCAUUUUCUUUUAGAGUUCCUAACAGAAGAAUGCUGCUUCUAUAUUUAAGCCAUACAGUUUAUCCUGUAUAAAGCCAUACAUAGCAGAUAUUCUUUGCAGGAAGCACUGCCUACUGUUUUACUAUAAUUCUUCAUUACAAAAUUAGACUGCGCAAUCUCUGCUUGUAGACACAAUGGCACUAAUCUCCCGCAAAACAGGGGCACUGCAACCAAUUGCUAUAUGGACUGAAAUGGGAGGUCUCCGACUUCUGUUCGAGGACAGUGUGGGAUGCUGAAAACAGCAUUCCCAUGGUGGCUUCUCUCUGAGAGACUGCCUGAUUGGAGUCACUUACUGUGGUGUGAAAUCUGAAGGAAACGCAAGAUCCUCCGCUGACACAGCUGUGGUAUGGGGUAGCUCUCACAUACACGUGGGUUAUUCAUUUAUUUUAGAGCACGGG
This is a long non-coding RNA of Aquila chrysaetos chrysaetos, 5242 nucleotides long. RefSeq lists it as uncharacterized. The record is from RefSeq and is a predicted model, not a curated record. NCBI's taxonomy places the organism in Eukaryota, Metazoa, Chordata, Aves, Accipitriformes, Accipitridae. The transcript is spliced from 2 exons.